CUUGUUGGUGGGGUAACGGCUCACCAAGGCGACGAUCCCUAGCUGGUCUGAGAGGAUGACCAGCCACACUGGAACUGAGACACGGUCCAGACUCCUACGGGAGGCAGCAGUGGGGAAUAUUGCACAAUGGGCGCAAGCCUGAUGCAGCCAUGCCGCGUGUAUGAAGAAGGCCUUCGGGUUGUAAAGUACUUUCAGCGGGGAGGAAGGGAGUAAAGUUAAUACCUUUGCUCAUUGACGUUAUCCGCAGAAGAAGCACCGGCUAACUCCGUGCCAGCAGCCGCGGUAAUACGGAGGGUGCAAGCGUUAAUCGGAAUUACUGGGCGUAAAGCGCACGCAGGCGGUUUGUUAAGUCAGAUGUGAAAUCCCCGGGCUCAACCUGGGAACUGCAUCUGAUACUGGCAAGCUUGAGUC
This 411-nucleotide ribosomal RNA is filed under the name Shigella boydii. RNAcentral describes it as "bacterial SSU rRNA". It matches the Rfam family "Bacterial small subunit ribosomal RNA", at positions 245 to 648 of the family's 1533-position model. Lineage: Bacteria; Pseudomonadati; Pseudomonadota; Gammaproteobacteria; Enterobacterales; Enterobacteriaceae. The record is from RNAcentral.